Long non-coding RNA from Eucalyptus grandis, 536 nucleotides. RefSeq lists it as uncharacterized. Lineage: Eukaryota; Viridiplantae; Streptophyta; Magnoliopsida; Myrtales; Myrtaceae. The record is from RefSeq and is a predicted model, not a curated record. The transcript has 2 exons.
UUUUUGUACAAUCUACAUGCAGCUGCAUUACAUGUUAAUGAGCAUGUGGGGUGAAGGAAAAGAUCUAAAAUUGGUGGACGCCCCUGUUUCUGGUCAUGUUAAAAGAGCUGCUGAGGGAAGUCGAUGACUUCUUAUAUGGAUGUGGACAGGUUUUAAAGAGUUAUGGACUUAUUAAUGUGCAAGAAGAAGAAUCUUAUUGUCAUUAAGGUUUUCCCUACCUGAUGUUCAUGUGCUACGAAGCAUGCAAGAGGAUUAUGGUUGAGGAUGAUGAAGAGGCAUAACCACAUAUUUGACAAGAAGAAAUGCGAGGUCUUUUGCUAUGGGUCAUCUAUAGAAAGAGUGGAUAAAGAUCACUAUUUUGCAUACUACGAUUUUUUUAUUUUGGUCAGAUGUAUACUGUGAUUGAAUGGUUUAGUUUAUGUUUUUUUCUUUUGCUCAUACGAUUUCUUCAAAAGAAUUCUUCAAGGAAGUUCUUGUUACCAAGGUUGGUUCUACAUGCACUCGCAAAGAUAUUUGAGGGGUUUACUUUUCUUUUG